RNAcentral lists this ribosomal RNA (497 nucleotides) under uncultured bacterium. Its description in RNAcentral is "partial 16S ribosomal RNA". It matches the Rfam family "Bacterial small subunit ribosomal RNA", at positions 28 to 507 of the family's 1533-position model. The record is from RNAcentral.
GAUGAACGCUGGCGGCGUGCCUAACACAUGCAAGUCGAGCGAACAGACGAGGAGCUUGCUCCUCUGACGUUAGCGGCGGACGGGUGAGUAACACGUGGAUAACCUACCUAUAAGACUGGGAUAACUUCGGGAAAACGGAGCUAAUACCGGAUCAUAUAUUGAACCGCUUGGUUCAAUAGUUAUAGGCGGUUUUGCUGUCACUUAUAGAUGGAUCCGCGCCGCAUUAGCUAGUUGGUAAGGUAACGGCUUACCAAGGCAACGAUGCGUAGCCGACCUGAGAGGGUGAUCGGCCACACUGGAACUGAGACACGGUCCAGACUCCUACGGGAGGCAGCAGUAGGGAAUCUUGCGCAAUGGGCGAAAGCCUGACGGAGCAACGCCGCGUGAGUGAUGAAGGCCUUCGGGUCGUAAAGCUCUGUUAUUAGGGAAGAACAACAGUGUAAGUAACUAUGCCCGUCUUGACGGUACCCAAACAGAAAGCCACGGCUAACUUCGUG